AAGAGAUUAUAAUAAAAAUAGCUGCUAACUAAUUUUUAAAGCGAAUUAAGCCCGUUUGUCUCUUA
This 65-nucleotide transfer RNA is filed under the name Parafagocyba longa. RNAcentral describes it as "tRNA-Ser". Lineage: Eukaryota; Metazoa; Arthropoda; Insecta; Hemiptera; Cicadellidae. The record is from RNAcentral.